RNAcentral lists this ribosomal RNA (484 nucleotides) under uncultured bacterium. RNAcentral's name for it is "partial 16S ribosomal RNA". It matches the Rfam family "Bacterial small subunit ribosomal RNA", at positions 28 to 523 of the family's 1533-position model. The record is from RNAcentral.
GACGAACGCUGGCGGCGUGCUUAACACAUGCAAGUCGAACGAUGAAGCUGGAGCUUGCUCUGGCGGAUUAGUGGCGAACGGGUGAGUAACACGUGAGAAAUCUGCCCUUGACUCUGGGAUAACUGCGGGAAACUGUAGCUAAUACCGGAUACUUUCCCUGGUGGGCAUCCACUGGGGAAGAAAGAAUUUCGGUCAAGGAUGAUCUCGCGGCCUAUCAGCUUGUUGGUGAGUUAAUGGCUCACCAAGGCGACGACGGGUAGCCGGCCUGAGAGGGUGAGCGGCCACACUGGGACUGAGACACGGCCCAGACUCCGACGGGAGGCCGCAGUGGGGAAUAUUGCACAAUGGGCGCAAGCCUGAUGCAGCAACGCCGCGUGAGGGAUGAAGGCCUUCGGGUUGUAAACCUCUUUUAGCAGGGAAGAAGCGAAAGUGACGGUACCUGCAGAAAAAGCACCGGCUAACUACGUGCCAGCCGCCGCGGUAA